AACGAACGCUGGCGGCAUGCCUAACACAUGCAAGUCGAACGAGACCUUCGGGUCUAGUGGCGCACGGGUGCGUAACGCGUGGGAAUCUACCCUCAGGUUCGGAAUAACUCAGAGAAAUUUGAGCUAAUACCGGAUGAUGACGUAAGUCCAAAGAUUUAUCGCCUGAGGAUGAGCCCGCGUAGGAUUAGGUAGUUGGUGAGGUAAAGGCUCACCAAGCCGACGAUCCUUAGCUGGUCUGAGAGGAUGAUCAGCCACACUGGGACUGAGACACGGCCCAGACUCCUACGGGAGGCAGCAGUGGGGAAUAUUGGACAAUGGGCGAAAGCCUGAUCCAGCAAUGCCGCGUGAGUGAUGAAGGCCUUAGGGUUGUAAAGCUCUUUUACCCGGGAUGAUAAGGACAGUACCGGGAGAAUAAGCUCCGGCGAACUCCGU
Molecule: ribosomal RNA, 432 nt
Filed under: uncultured bacterium
Lineage: Bacteria
Description: partial 16S ribosomal RNA
Rfam family: Bacterial small subunit ribosomal RNA
Source: RNAcentral